UACGAAGGGGGCUAGCGUUGCUCGGAAUCACUGGGCGUAAAGCGCACGUAGGCGGCUUUUAAGUCAGGGGUGAAAUCCUGGAGCUCAACUCCAGAACUGCCUUUGAUACUGAGAAGCUUGAGUCCGGGAGAGGUGAGUGGAACUGCGAGUGUAGAGGUGAAAUUCGUAGAUAUUCGCAAGAACACCAGUGGCGAAGGCGGCUCACUGGCCCGGUACUGACGCUGAGGUGCGAAAGCGUGGGGAGCGAACAGG
This 252-nucleotide ribosomal RNA is filed under the name uncultured bacterium. RNAcentral describes it as "partial 16S ribosomal RNA". It matches the Rfam family "Bacterial small subunit ribosomal RNA", at positions 524 to 776 of the family's 1533-position model. The record is from RNAcentral.